RNAcentral lists this transfer RNA (85 nucleotides) under Candidatus Uhrbacteria bacterium RIFCSPHIGHO2_02_FULL_54_11. Its description in RNAcentral is "tRNA-Leu". It matches the Rfam family "tRNA". From Rfam's summary of the family: Transfer RNA (tRNA) molecules are approximately 80 nucleotides in length. Their secondary structure includes four short double-helical elements and three loops (D, anti-codon, and T loops). Lineage: Bacteria; Candidatus Uhriibacteriota. The record is from RNAcentral. RNAcentral also lists the same sequence under 1 other name.
GGGCGAGUGGUGGAAUUGGCAGACACGCCAGCCUUAGGAGCUGGUGCCGCAAGGUGUGAGAGUUCGAGUCUCUCCUCGCCCACCA